UGUAUGGUUAAUUUAACUGAAUUUUUAGUUAGUUUUUAAGUUUAAAAAAUAAGAUUUUGAGAGCUUUUCAAGUAAACAAUCUUUUUUUCACUAACAAAACUUUCAAUUUUUCAAGUGAAAUGUAGACGCAUACAAAGUUACAAAGGCAACUUCAAAUUCCAAAUUAUUAUUUUUCAAAGUUGAAUUUCAAAGACUAUACUAAUAAAUAUUUGCAGUGUUUGUCUCCUAGAAGAAUAGAAUGAUAGUUGUGUUUUCCUUGUCACAAAAGAAUUACUCAAGAAGUAGCUUUGUGGCUGCAUUAGAUCAACACAACCAUCAAUUGUGUCAAUUUAGCAAACCCCCUUUUAUUCUUCUAAUUGAUAUAUGAAGCUAUAGUAGAUAUGGAAGGUGGGAAAGGAAUAACAGCGAAUCCACGCCCUUGCAGCAUUCAUAGAGUGUUGCCAAGCAAUAAAAGGCAUCGAACUGAUAAUAAUGGUUUGCUCAAUAGUGUCAACAAACUUCAAAGGCGUGAGAUUUCAUCUCGUAAAGAUCGUUGUUUUGCCCUUGCUAAUUCCCAUGAGAAGUUCCGUAACAUGUGCCUCACGGAGGAAUAUGAUACUCAUGAACCAAGGGGGCAUUUUCCAUUAGCUUUUCCUUUCUUGAUGACGAGAGCGAAGGUUGUUGAGAUCGUUGCAGCCCGUGAUAUUGUAUUUGCACUUGCACAUUCUGGUGUAUGUGCAGCUUUUAGUAGAGAGACAAAUGAAAGGAUCUGUUUCCUGAAUUUAAGUCCUGAUGAAGUGAUCAGAAGCUUGUUCUACAAUAAGAACAAUGGUUCAUUAAUCACAGUAUCAGUUUAUGCUUCAGACAACUUCAGUUUGCUGAAAUGCAGAUCCACAAGGAUUGAAUACAUACAGCGUGGCAAGGCCGGUGCAGGUUUUCCCCUUUUUGAAUCAGAGGCUCUGAAGUGGCCUGGCUUUGUAGAGUUUGAUGACGUAAAUGGGAAAGUGCUUACUUACUCUGCUCAAGAUAGUAUUUACAAGGUCUUUGACCUGAAAAAUUAUAUGAUCCUGUACUCUAUAUCGGAUAAGAAUGUACAAGAAAUCAAAAUCAGUCCAGGUAUUAUGUUACUGAUUUUCACUCGAGCUCAGAGUUAUGUUCCACUAAAGAUAUUGUCUAUAGAAGAUGGGACAGUUCUUAAAGAUUUCAACCACUUCAUUGAAAUAAGAAGGUUGAUUUCAUUGAACAAUUCAAUGAGAAAGUUCUUGUCAAACAAGAUAAUGAGGAUCUCCAAAUUCUAGAUGUAUAUUAGCUUCCUAACAUGCUAUUUUCUUACUUUCUUUGCCUGGUUUACACUCUGCGCUUUGACUUCCUUUCUUGGUACAGGUUCGCAACGCUGAGCUGAAAGAGGAAUGGAACCAUUGCUGCAUGGAAUUUCCGUGGAGAACUUGUAACUUCUUUUGAGGAUCACCAAUUGUGGCAUCCAGACUGCAAUACUAACAACAUUUAUAUUACUAGUGGUCAGGACCUCAUCA
RNA transcript from Lycium barbarum (goji berry), 1511 nucleotides. RefSeq lists it as uncharacterized. The record is from RefSeq and is a predicted model, not a curated record. The transcript is spliced from 7 exons. NCBI's taxonomy places the organism in Eukaryota, Viridiplantae, Streptophyta, Magnoliopsida, Solanales, Solanaceae.